Molecule: non-coding RNA, 543 nt
Organism: Puntigrus tetrazona (Sumatra barb)
Lineage: Eukaryota; Metazoa; Chordata; Actinopteri; Cypriniformes; Cyprinidae
Source: the annotation of a RefSeq genome assembly
CCUGCUGCUGUGACACACACAUGUACAAUGAUACUUCAUUCAGUCAUUCUGCUUUCUACCUUGGCAGGUGUGAGUUUUGGAGAUGAAAUCACAGCAGACAGCACUGAAGAAACUGCUGAAGUGGGUUCAACUCUUACUUUAUCCUGCAGUUAUUCUUCUGCACAAUCCCUUCAAUGGUACCGUCAGUAUCCCGGAUCAGCUCCUCAGUUUCUUGUGCUAAUAAUGGAGAGUGUGAAAGAGAAUAGGACAUCUGAUAUAGACCCCAGAUUCUCCACUAAGCUCAGAAAAGAAAAACAAGCUACAAAAGAAAUCAAACAUGUGGAUCUGAUCAUCUCCUCUCCUGCUGUAUCUGACUCUGCUCUGUAUUACUGUGCUCUGAGGCCCACAGUGACAGGAAACACUACAACACUGUACAAAAACCUGACAUAUGAAAAUGUACAACCAUUUUUUCUAUAAAUAUAUGUAGAUUCUAAAUUUACACUGUAUUAAUAUCAGAUAGGAUAAACCAUAUAGUUGCAGGAAUGCUAUUUGUUAACACUGUAC